CUACGGGUUGCUGCAGUGGGGAAUAUUGCACAAUGGGCGAAAGCCUGAUGCAGCAACGCCGCGUGAGUGAAGAAGGCCUUCGGGUCGUAAAACUCUUUUCUUGGGGAAGAAAUGAUGACGGUACCCAAGGAAUAAGCCCCGGCUAAUUACGUGCCAGCAGCCGCGGUAAUACGUAAGGGGCAAGCGUUAUCCGGAAUCACUGGGCGUAAAGGGUGCGUAGGUGGUCCUUUAAGUCAGAAGUGAAAGGCUACGGCUUAACCGUAGUAAGCUUUUGAAACUGUGGGACUGGAGUGCAGGAGAGGAAAGUGGAAUUCCUAGUGUAGCGGUGAAAUGCGUAGAUAUUAGGAGGAACACCAGUGGCGAAGGCGACUUUCUGGACUGUAACUGACACUGAGGCACGAAAGCGUGGGGAGCAAACAGGAUUAGAUACCCUGGUAGUC
This 440-nucleotide ribosomal RNA is filed under the name uncultured bacterium. Its description in RNAcentral is "partial 16S ribosomal RNA". It matches the Rfam family "Bacterial small subunit ribosomal RNA", at positions 339 to 795 of the family's 1533-position model. The record is from RNAcentral.